AACUUCCCCCACUCGAUUCUUCUGAGUUUCUUUUUCUUAACACAGCCAUUAAACUUGAUUAGCGUAUUUAAUCAACUUCAUCACGUAAAUCUUUAAUUUUCUCUAAAACCCCAAUUUUUACUGAAACUUGAACCCAUUUCGAUUCCGAUUCCAAUUCCAAUUUCUAAACAAAGAUUUAGCGGUGAAAGUGGUGGUGGGUUGAUGCCAAAGACGAACAUAGGGAAGAUUUCAUCAUCAUCUAGAUCUGGACUAGAAAUCUUUCGUAAGGUGAAUAAACCCAGGUGGACGAGAGAUAGAGAUAGAUUGAAGAGGAGUAGAGGAGGAUUGUAUUUGAUUAGAUAUUUAAGAGGAGAAGAGGAGGAUUGUACAAGAGUUAUCGAACUAGACAGAGUGGGAGGUGUUGCAGGAGUUGAUGGUGUAUGGCAGGAUUAGCAGGUGUUGUAAGAGUGGUAUGACUAGUAGGAGUUGUUGGUGUAUCUACGUCACCGUCUUUGACCGCUAAUUUCAUUUCACCAGCACAAUGAUUUCCUUCUGGACUUUAGAAAUACAUGGUUCCAGCUACUUAAGGGACUGUGCUACUUCAACCACUGCACUCCUUGCAUUACGGAUUGCGUCAUGGCAGAGCUUGUGAAAUUGGGUCAGAAGUACCAAAAACAAGAUAUAUGCAUUAUUGACGAGAGAGCUGCACUGUCAUGGUCCAGGGUCGUCCUCGAGGUGAUAAACUUUUGGUAAUCUGCACUGUAAUGUCAACUUUGUUCAUCUGGCUCGGAAUAGUCAGCUUGUAUUGGUCUAUCUUGGCUGCAUGUGUUGUGACUUGCAGUAGUGGAGCUUGGAUCUUUGAAAGGUCGUCAUCCUUUACUGGAAGAUGUAAAGAAGAAGGCAGUUGCACUUGGACAUGUUAAUUUUAGUACACCACCAAAUGAUGAAAAUUAUGAAGUCCUUAUAGAUGAUAAAACAGAUAGGAAUAUGGAACUAUGUGUGGGAGAUGGAAAACUUGGAUAUAUUGAUCCCAGUGAGACGAUUGAAUGGCCAAAGCAAUACGUAACUCGUGCACUUGGAUGUUAAAUCGUAAUGUUUUAAUUUAUUUUUAUCGUUUUUUCUUCUUUGUUGUUAUGAACAUGAAGUAGCUUUUGUUGUUGAAUUUAAUUGUUGAGUUGUUAAAUGAAUUAAAAGUUAAUUUUAAUAGAAUGGGUUACAUUUGCUUACAA
Papaver somniferum (opium poppy) is the source of this 1208-nucleotide long non-coding RNA. RefSeq lists it as uncharacterized. The transcript is spliced from 6 exons. NCBI's taxonomy places the organism in Eukaryota, Viridiplantae, Streptophyta, Magnoliopsida, Ranunculales, Papaveraceae. The record is from RefSeq and is a predicted model, not a curated record.